UACGUAGGCAGCGAGCGUUGUUCGGAGUUACUGGGCGUAAAGGGUGUGUAGGCGGUUUGGUAAGUCUGGUGUGAAAUCUCCCGGCUCAACUGGGAGGGUGCGCCGGAAACUGCUGGACUCGAGUGCGGGAGAGGAAAGUGGAAUUCCUGGUGUAGCGGUGAAAUGCGUAGAUAUCAGGAGGAACACCGGUGGUGUAGGCGGCUUUCUGGACCGUAACUGACGCUGAGACACGAAAGCGUGGGUAGCAAAC
This 250-nucleotide ribosomal RNA is filed under the name uncultured bacterium. RNAcentral's name for it is "partial 16S ribosomal RNA". It matches the Rfam family "Bacterial small subunit ribosomal RNA", at positions 524 to 773 of the family's 1533-position model. The record is from RNAcentral.